This 2058-nucleotide ribosomal RNA is filed under the name soil metagenome. RNAcentral describes it as "bacterial LSU rRNA". It matches the Rfam family "Bacterial large subunit ribosomal RNA", at positions 147 to 2228 of the family's 2925-position model. The record is from RNAcentral.
ACUAUCGUUAACUGAAUACAUAGGUUAACGAGGCGAACCGGGGGAACUGAAACAUCUAAGUACCCCGAGGAAAAGAAAUCAACCGAGAUUCCCCCAGUAGCGGCGAGCGAACGGGGAGCAGCCCAGAGUCUGAAUCAGCUUGUGUGUUAGUGGAACGGUCUGGAAAGUCCGACGGUACAGGGUGAUAGUCCCGUACACCAAAAUGCACAGGCUGUGAACUCGAAGAGUAGGGCGGGACACGUGGUAUCCUGUCUGAAUAUGGGGGGACCAUCCUCCAAGGCUAAAUACUCCUGACUGACCGAUAGUGAACCAGUACCGUGAGGGAAAGGCGAAAAGAACCCCGGCGAGGGGAGUGAAAAAGAACCUGAAACCGUGUACGUACAAGCAGUGGGAGCACCUUCGGGUGUGACUGCGUACCUUUUGUAUAAUGGGUCAGCGACUUAUAUUCUGUAGCAAGGUUAACCGUAUAGGGGAGCCGCAGGGAAACCGAGUCUUAACUGGGCGUUAAGUUGCAGGGUAUAGACCCGAAACCCGGUGAUCUAGCCAUGGGCAGGUUGAAGGUUGGGUAACACUAACUGGAGGACCGAACCGACUAAUGUUGAAAAAUUAGCGGAUGACUUGUGGCUGGGGGUGAAAGGCCAAUCAAACCGGGAGAUAGCUGGUUCUCCCCGAAAGCUAUUUAGGUAGCGCCUCGUGAACUCAUCUUCGGGGGUAGAGCACUGUUUCGGCUAGGGGGUCAUCCCGACUUACCAACCCGAUGCAAACUACGAAUACCGAAGAAUGUUAUCACGGGAGACACACGGCGGGUGCUAACGUCCGUCGUGAAGAGGGAAACAACCCAGACCGCCAGCUAAGGUCCCAAAGUCAUGGUUAAGUGGGAAACGAUGUGGGAAGGCACAGACAGCCAGGAUGUUGGCUUAGAAGCAGCCAUCAUUUAAAGAAAGCGUAAUAGCUCACUGGUCGAGUCGGCCUGCGCGGAAGAUGUAACGGGGCUAAACCAUGCACCGAAGCUGCGGCAGCGACGCUUAUGCGUUGUUGGGUAGGGGAGCGUUCUGUAAGCCUGCGAAGGUGGCCUGUGAGGGCUGCUGGAGGUAUCAGAAGUGCGAAUGCUGACAUAAGUAACGAUAAAGCGGGUGAAAAGCCCGCUCGCCGGAAGACCAAGGGUUCCUGUCCAACGUUAAUCGGGGCAGGGUGAGUCGACCCCUAAGGCGAGGCCGAAAGGCGUAGUCGAUGGGAAACAGGUUAAUAUUCCUGUACUUGGUGUUACUGCGAAGGGGGGACGGAGAAGGCUAUGUUAGCCGGGCGACGGUUGUCCCGGUUUAAGCAUGUAGGCGGAGGUUCCAGGUAAAUCCGGUACCUUUUAACGCUGAGGUGUGAUGACGAGGCACUACGGUGCUGAAGUAACAAAUGCCCUGCUUCCAGGAAAAGCCUCUAAGCAUCAGGUAACAUUAAAUCGUACCCCAAACCGACACAGGUGGUCAGGUAGAGAAUACCAAGGCGCUUGAGAGAACUCGGGUGAAGGAACUAGGCAAAAUGGUGCCGUAACUUCGGGAGAAGGCACGCUGGUGUGUAGGUGAAGUCCCUGCGGACGGAGCUGAGACCAGUCGAAGAUACCAGCUGGCUGCAACUGUUUAUUAAAAACACAGCACUGUGCAAACACGAAAGUGGACGUAUACGGUGUGACGCCUGCCCGGUGCCGGAAGGUUAAUUGAUGGGGUUAUCCGUAAGGAGAAGCUCUUGAUCGAAGCCCCGGUAAACGGCGGCCGUAACUAUAACGGUCCUAAGGUAGCGAAAUUCCUUGUCGGGUAAGUUCCGACCUGCACGAAUGGCGUAAUGAUGGCCAGGCUGUCUCCACCCGAGACUCAGUGAAAUUGAACUCGCUGUGAAGAUGCAGUGUACCCGCGGCAAGACGGAAAGACCCCGUGAACCUUUACUAUAGCUUGACACUGAACAUUGAGCCUUGAUGUGUAGGAUAGGUGGGAGGCUUUGAAGCGUGGACGCCAGUCUGCGUGGAGCCAACCUUGAAAUACCACCCUUUAAUGUUUGAUGUUCUAACGU